GGAAAGUUAAGUUAUUGAAAAUAUUACUAAUGAAAUCGGUCUCGAAAACCGGAGUAGGGGUAACUCUACCGGGGGUUCAAAUCCCCCUCUCUCCGCCA
This 98-nucleotide transfer RNA is filed under the name Citrobacter sp. On28M. RNAcentral describes it as "tRNA-OTHER". The record is from RNAcentral. RNAcentral also lists the same sequence under 1 other name. Lineage: Bacteria; Pseudomonadati; Pseudomonadota; Gammaproteobacteria; Enterobacterales; Enterobacteriaceae.